GUGAACGCUGGCGGCAGGCCUAACACAUGCAAGUCGAACGGCAGCACAAGAGAGCUUGCUCUCUGGGUGGCGAGUGGCGGACGGGUGAGGAAUGCAUCGGAAUCUGCCCAUUUGUGGGGGAUAACCUCGGGAAACCGGGACUAAUACCGCAUACGACCUACGGGUGAAAGCAGGGGAUCUUCGGACCUUGCGCAGAUGGAUGAGCCGAUGCCGGAUUAGCUAGUUGGAGGGGUAAAGGCCCACCAAGGCGACGAUCCGUAGCUGGUCUGAGAGGAUGAUCAGCCACACUGGGACUGAGACACGGCCCAGACUCCUACGGGAGGCAGCAGUGGGGAAUAUUGGACAAAGGGCGCAAGCCUGAUCCAGCCAUGCCGCGUGUGUGAAGAAGGCCUUCGGGUUGUAAAGCACUUUUGUUGGGAAAGAAAAGCAGCCGGUUAAUACCCGGUUGUCAUGACGGUACCCAAAGAAUAAGCACCGGCUAACUUCGUG
RNAcentral lists this ribosomal RNA (489 nucleotides) under uncultured bacterium. RNAcentral's name for it is "partial 16S ribosomal RNA". It matches the Rfam family "Bacterial small subunit ribosomal RNA", at positions 29 to 507 of the family's 1533-position model. The record is from RNAcentral.